AACAAUCUCCUAACCAUCUGGUGCUAGAUUUGACCCUUCACCAUCCUCGACUCAACGAUCUCCUGUCAACCUGGUGCUGGACUUGCCUCUUCAUCGCCCUCCGCCCUACACUUAUCAUUCUUCACUCUUCAUCCCCCAAAAAUAAAAGAAUAAAAAGAGAACCCGUCUUCAUAUGAACAAAUCUGUGGUUAAUUUUGCGGUAUAUAUAUAUUACAACAGCAGCCAUAUUUGAGAAGGAAGAAUAAGAAGCUAAUAAGCAAAAGAUGAGUGAGCCGCCCAAGUACGCUUAUCCCUACCCUGCUCAAGGUUACUAUCAAGGCCCUCCGGUGAUGCCGCCGCCGCAGUACUACGCCGCUCCGCCACCCCCCAGGAGAGAAACUGGUUUUCUCGAAGGAUGUUUGGCAGCUCUGUGUUGCUGCUGGCUGUUAGAUGAGUGCUGCUGCGACCCCUCCAUCGUCUUCAUCAGCUGAUUAUAUAUAUAUGCAUGGAGAUUGUUAUUACAAUUAGUGGGUUAUAUAUGUUGUAGUAAGUUAUUAUCUGAUCUGUUUAAAUAAAUCUGCAGUGAUUUGAUGAUGUUUUUAGUUGUUAAUCAAGAGAGCUUAAUUAGUUUGAUCUUGAAUGUGAAAUGUGAUACCUUAGGCUCAGGCUUUCAUGUCCAAA
Molecule: long non-coding RNA, 660 nt
Organism: Ipomoea nil (Japanese morning glory)
Lineage: Eukaryota; Viridiplantae; Streptophyta; Magnoliopsida; Solanales; Convolvulaceae
Exons: 3
Source: RefSeq, a predicted model, not a curated record